CCUANGGGUGGCAGCAGUCGGGAAUUUUGGGCAAUGGGCGAAAGCCUGACCCAGCAACGCCGCGUGAGGGAUGAAGGCCUUCGGGUCGUAAACCUCUGUCGGGAGGGAAGAAAGGUUGCCGAGCGAAUAGGUCGGCGGCUUGACGGUACCUCCAAAGGAAGCGCCGGCUAACUCCGUGCCAGCAGCCGCGGUAAUACGGAGGGCGCGAGCGUUGUUCGGAAUUACUGGGCGUAAAGCGCGUGUAGGCGGCCAGGUAAGUCGGAUGUGAAAGCCCGGGGCCCAACCCCGGAACUGCACCCGAUACUGCCCGGCUGGAGUCCCGGAGAGGAUGGCGGAAUUUCCGGUGUAGAGGUGAAAUUCGUAGAUAUCGGAAGGAACACCAGUGGCGAAGGCGGCCAUCUGGACGGUGACUGACGCUGAGACGCGAAAGCGUGGGGAGCAAACAGGAUUAGAUACCCCGNUANUC
RNAcentral lists this ribosomal RNA (466 nucleotides) under uncultured bacterium. RNAcentral's name for it is "bacterial SSU rRNA". It matches the Rfam family "Bacterial small subunit ribosomal RNA", at positions 338 to 795 of the family's 1533-position model. The record is from RNAcentral.